GGUGAAUCGUGCAAUAGGUGGAGCCAGCAUUAAUGAUGGAGAAAUAGAACUCAUACUGCAUAGGCGCUUGCUCUACGAUGAUUCUAGAGGAGUGGGUGAAGCCCUCGAUGAGACUGUCUGUGUGAGGACUGCAUGUGAGGGACUUACGGUUCGAGGGAAUUACUAUCUGGGCAUUUAUAAAAACGGUAAUGGGUGACAUUGGCGCAGAACAACUGGCCAAGAAAUUUAUUCACCUCUUGUUUUAGCUUUUGGACAUGAGAAUCAGGAAGAAUGGAGAGCUUCUCAUUUAACUAAAGCCACCAUCAUGAAUCCCAAUUAUAGUCUACCUCCUAAUAUUGCAUUGAUUACUCUCCAGGAGUUGGAUAAUGGAGGUGUACUUCUCCGUUUGGCUCAUCUAUACAAGGUAAAAAUAAACUAAGUUGUUUUUCUUGAAUAGACAUGAGCAUAAAAAUUGUGGAUGAAUCGGAAGUUGAUGAAAGUCUUAUCUCAUUUCCUUAUUUCAGUUGUACUUUGACAAAGAAACAACAACUUUACUUCUGAAAAAACAUGAACUGCUUGUAUUUAUUUGAAUUCUGAAACAGAAAAUGUAAAAUUAAGAGUGUGACACAUGACAUCAUUAUAGGUUGGACCUCUAUGCUUGUCCCUUGCUAACUGAUAUCACUACUUACCCUUUUGGUUUAUAUGUGUUGUGGAUGUGGAUAGGCUGGUGAAGACGCUGAUUAUUCGACAGUAACCAAAGUGUAACUGAAGGAUAUGUUUGCUGGAAAAACGAUAAAGGCAAUCAAGGAAACAAGCUUAUCGGCGAAUCAAGGCAAGAAUGAGAUGAAGAAGAUGAGUUGGAAUAUAGAACAUGACACAGGCAGUGAAUAUGCACCAAUUAGAGGGGGUCCAGUAGGCAUGUCUAGUCUCGCAGUCGAGCUUGGUCCAAUGGAAAUACGGACUUUUGUUGUUAUAUUUUGAAUAGAAAUUUGCUUAUUUUCUACCCAACAAGUUAAAAAGAACUGCUCCAUGGAGCCACUAAUAGUUCUUUUUAGUCAAAUUUAUUCAUAAUAAUAAAUUUGAUGUCUG
Molecule: non-coding RNA, 1068 nt
Organism: Nicotiana tabacum (common tobacco)
Lineage: Eukaryota; Viridiplantae; Streptophyta; Magnoliopsida; Solanales; Solanaceae
Source: RefSeq, a predicted model, not a curated record